This 207-nucleotide ribosomal RNA is filed under the name uncultured bacterium. RNAcentral describes it as "partial 16S ribosomal RNA". It matches the Rfam family "Bacterial small subunit ribosomal RNA", at positions 568 to 774 of the family's 1533-position model. The record is from RNAcentral.
CACGUAGGCGGAUAUUUAAGUCAGGGGUGAAAUCCCGGGGCUCAACCCCGGAACUGCCUUUGAUACUGGGUAUCUUGAGUAUGGAAGAGGUAAGUGGAAUUGCGAGUGUAGAGGUGAAAUUCGUAGAUAUUCGCAGGAACACCAGUGGCGAAGGCGGCUUACUGGUCCAUUACUGACGCUGAGGUGCGAAAGCGUGGGGAGCAAACA